AGCGAACGCUGGCGGCAGGCCUAACACAUGCAAGUCGAACGAAGUCUUCGGACCCAGUGGCGGACGGGUGAGUAACACGUGGGAACGUGCCUUUAGGUUCGGAAUAACUCAGGGAAACUUGUGCUAAUACCGAAUGCGCCCUUCGGGGGAAAGAUUUAUCGGCUUUAGAGCGGCCCGAGUCUGAUUAGCUAGUUGGUGGGGUAAUGGCCCACCAAGGCUACGAUCAGUAGCUGGUCUGAGAGGAUGACCAGCCACAUUGGGACUGAGACACGGCCCAAACUCCUACGGGAGGCAGCAGUAGGGAAUCUUGCGCAAUGGGCGAAAGCCUGACGCAGCCAUGCCGCGUGGAUAAUGAAGGUCUUAGGAUUGUAAAAUCCUUUCACCGGUGAAGAUAAUGACUGUAGCCGGAGAAGAAGCCCCGGCUAACUUCGUGCCAGCCGCCGCGGUAA
Molecule: ribosomal RNA, 449 nt
Filed under: uncultured bacterium
Lineage: Bacteria
Description: partial 16S ribosomal RNA
Rfam family: Bacterial small subunit ribosomal RNA
Source: RNAcentral